AUACUUACCUGGCAGGGGAGAUACCAUGAUCACAAAGGUGGUUGUUCCAGGGCGAGGCUUAGCCAUUGCACUCUGGAUGUGCUGAGUCCUGUGAUUUCCCCAAAUGUGGGAAACUCAACUGCUUUAAA
This 128-nucleotide small nuclear RNA is filed under the name Dasypus novemcinctus (nine-banded armadillo). Its description in RNAcentral is "U1 spliceosomal RNA (ENSDNOG00000026063.1)". It matches the Rfam family "U1 spliceosomal RNA". From Rfam's summary of the family: U1 is a small nuclear RNA (snRNA) component of the spliceosome (involved in pre-mRNA splicing). Its 5' end forms complementary base pairs with the 5' splice junction, thus defining the 5' donor site of an intron. The record is from RNAcentral. Lineage: Eukaryota; Metazoa; Chordata; Mammalia; Cingulata; Dasypodidae.